Molecule: long non-coding RNA, 332 nt
Filed under: Gossypium barbadense (sea-island cotton)
Lineage: Eukaryota; Viridiplantae; Streptophyta; Magnoliopsida; Malvales; Malvaceae
Description: long non-coding RNA (GBAR_LNC018508)
Source: RNAcentral
GAAAACUUAAAGUCGACGAAUAGGCGAUAAUUUCUAUCCGAGCGACUCGAGGUAAGUUCGUAUGUGGUAAUUUCAUUAUAAAUGCAUGAGAAACGCUUUGAUAUUGCAUAAACUAUGAUUAAGAGAUUACAAAUAUUGUUUGAAUUGUGAAUACGACUCUAUGAAUGUAUUUGACGAUGAAAUCGACAAGUGUAACUUCCAGGUUGAGCCUUAGAAAUAGUUUAGGAUAAUAGUGACAUGCCAUUAAGUUAUGUGUUGGCUUCGGUCCAUGAUAUCAGCACUACCGGUGCGAGUAAUGCCUUCAUUUUGGCUAUGGGCCAUGGUAUAGGUAC